CGGAGAAGUUGUUUUUAUACCGUUUAAUACCGGUGGACAUUGGUUGUUGCUCGCAAUCAAUCCUAUCCGAGAAAUUGUGUAUUAUCUUGACUCGUUAGGAAAUGAUUGGACAACAUACCCGGAUAUGAAGGUCCUAAUUGACACCGUCCUACAAGCUUUUCGGGCCCAACGAGAUAUCCAAACCUCAAGGAGGGGCGCCAACUCCAUUACAUGGAUUAAAGUGGCGUGUCCUCAACAACGUAAUCAAAUAGAUUACGGGUAUUUCAUGUUGAGGUUUAUGCGAGAUACUCUUGCUUUGGGCCGAUUAAAGAUUCCCAC
This is a long non-coding RNA of Lathyrus oleraceus (garden pea), 318 nucleotides long. RefSeq lists it as uncharacterized. The record is from RefSeq and is a predicted model, not a curated record. The transcript is spliced from 4 exons. Lineage: Eukaryota; Viridiplantae; Streptophyta; Magnoliopsida; Fabales; Fabaceae.